UGAUUGCUAUUAAUAAUUUUUAAAAGCAAUUGGCCACAACUGGAAAAGAACCUUUUGGAUUUCAUUCGUAAUUAGCCAAAACUUUCGUACUCUAUUUUUCUUGGCAAGUUCUUACUUCUUCUAUAUACAACAAAUAUUAACUUCAAUAAGAUUAGUCCCUUUAAUAUAAGGGUACUUUGGCACAUUACUUUUAAGCCUUCCAAAACAUGAAGCAAAUACCUAGAAUUACAAACAGAAAAUGACCAAAAGGUCAGAGAUAUGAGCAAGGGGUGUGUGUGUCCGCUGACAAGCUUUAGAAUUCAUUAUAGAGGCCUGUGAAGGAGAACUACAGUACACAACCAGCAAAUUUUGUUAGAUAAGACUCUACAAUGCUUCAAACCCUGUUCAGAAAGAAAAUGAUCAAGGAACAAGAAAGCAUUACAUCCUCAACAUAUACUGUAAAGGCAUAUCUUAACAAAUUACAACCUGAGGGGCAUGCAAGCCAAUUGAACAUAUUAGCAAACUCAUGUUGACAAUUGAUAUACAAUUUUUUUCCCUUUUUCAGGCUUUCCUUCUCAAUUAGGUACAAAAGAAA
This 574-nucleotide unclassified non-coding RNA is filed under the name Hevea brasiliensis (rubber tree). The record is from RNAcentral. Lineage: Eukaryota; Viridiplantae; Streptophyta; Magnoliopsida; Malpighiales; Euphorbiaceae.